This 814-nucleotide ribosomal RNA is filed under the name uncultured bacterium. Its description in RNAcentral is "bacterial SSU rRNA". It matches the Rfam family "Bacterial small subunit ribosomal RNA", at positions 8 to 796 of the family's 1533-position model. The record is from RNAcentral.
AGAGUUUGAUCAUGGCUCAGAAUCAACGCUGGCGGCGUGCCUCAGACAUGCAAGUCGAACGCGAAAGUUUCCUUCGGGAGAUGAGUAGAGUGGCGCACGGGUGAGUAACACGUAGGUAAUCUGCCUUUGGGUGGGGAAUAACAGCCGGAAACGGCUGCUAAUACCGCAUAAUGCAGCGGCACCACAUGGUGACAGUUGUUAAAGCGGGGGAUCUCGCAAGAGACCUCGCGCCUGAAGAGGAGCCUGCGGCAGAUUAGCUAGUUGGUGAGGUAAAGGCUCACCAAGGCUGUGAUCUGUAGCCGGCCUGAGAGGGCGGUCGGCCACACUGACACUGACAUACGGGUCAGACUCCUACGGGAGGCAGCAGUCGGGAAUUUUGGGCAAUGGGCGAAAGCCUGACCCAGCAACGCCGCGUGAAGGAUGAAAUCCCUCGGGAUGUAAACUUCGCAAGAAUGGGAAGAAUAAGUGAGAGUCAACACCUCUCAUGAUGACGGUACUAUUUGUAAGCUCCGGCUAACUCCGUGCCAGCAGCCGCGGUAAUACGGGGGGAGCAAGCGUUGUUCGGAUUUACUGGGCGUAAAGGGCGCGUAGGCGGCCACAACAAGUCACUUGUGAAAUCUCCGGGCUUAACUCGGAACGGUCAAGUGAUACUGUUGGGCUAGAGUGCGGAAGGGGCAACUGGAAUUCUCGGUGUAGCGGUGAAAUGCGUAGAUAUCGAGAGGAACACCUGCGGCGAAGGCGGGUUGCUGGGCCGACACUGACGCUGAGGCGCGAAAGCUAGGGGAGCGAACGGAAUUAGAUACCCCCGUAGUCC